This is a long non-coding RNA of Zerene cesonia (dogface butterfly), 290 nucleotides long. RefSeq lists it as uncharacterized. Lineage: Eukaryota; Metazoa; Arthropoda; Insecta; Lepidoptera; Pieridae. The record is from RefSeq and is a predicted model, not a curated record. The transcript has 2 exons.
UAUUUGUGUAUUAGCAUUCACAAAUCAAACUUUGUAAUAAAUGCGUUUUUUAUGUAAUAAAUAAAUUAAUACAGCAUUAAUUAAUAUGAGUUAUACACGUUAUUCCUGCAGAAUUAAAAUGAAAGGGUUACAGGCCUACGAUACAAGCUGUCUUAAUUGUAGGUCCGUAUUAUCUUUUUUAUGUAAUAAAAAGAAAAUAUAGCUUAUUGCUCAGUAAUAUUUUAAGAUAAUAAUAAUGUUCAUCAUGUUUUCUGGCAAAUGCAAAUACUUAAAUAAAGGAACCUGAUUAA